Molecule: ribosomal RNA, 648 nt
Filed under: uncultured bacterium
Lineage: Bacteria
Description: bacterial SSU rRNA
Rfam family: Bacterial small subunit ribosomal RNA
Source: RNAcentral
AGAGUUUGAUCAUGGCUCAGAUUGAACGCUGGCGGCAGGCCUAACACAUGCAAGUCGAGCGGCAGCGACUUAACUGAACCUUCGGGGAACGUUAAGGGCGGGGAGCGGCGGACGGGUGAGUAAUGCCUGGGAAUAUGCCCUGAUGUGGGGGAUAACUAUUGGAAACGAUAGCUAAUACCGCAUAAUCUCUUCGGAGCAAAGAGGGGGACCUUCGGGCCUCUCGCGUCAGGAUUAGCCCAGGUGGGAUUAGCUUGUUGGUGAGGUAAUGGCUCACCAAGGCAACGAUCCCUAGCUGGUCUGAGAGGAUGAUCAGCCACACUGGAACUGAGACACGGUCCAGACUCCUACGGGAGGCAGCAGUGGGGAAUAUUGCACAAUGGGGGAAACCCUGAUGCAGCCAUGCCGCGUGUGUGAAGAAGGCCUUCGGGUUGUAAAGCACUUUCAGUAGGGAGGAAGGUAGUGUAGUUAACACCUGCACUAUUUGACGUUACCUACAGAAGAAGCACCGGCUAACUCCGUGCCAGCAGCCGCGGUAAUACGGAGGGUGCGAGCGUUAAUCGGAAUUACUGGGCGUAAAGCGCAUGCAGGCGGCCUGUUAAGUCAGAUGUGAAAGCCCGGGGCUUAACCUCGGAAUUGCAUUUGAAACUG